RNAcentral lists this transfer RNA (62 nucleotides) under Ictidomys tridecemlineatus (thirteen-lined ground squirrel). RNAcentral's name for it is "Spermophilus tridecemlineatus (thirteen-lined ground squirrel) tRNA". It matches the Rfam family "tRNA". From Rfam's summary of the family: Transfer RNA (tRNA) molecules are approximately 80 nucleotides in length. Their secondary structure includes four short double-helical elements and three loops (D, anti-codon, and T loops). Lineage: Eukaryota; Metazoa; Chordata; Mammalia; Rodentia; Sciuridae. RNAcentral also lists the same sequence under 1 other name. The record is from Rfam by way of RNAcentral.
GGGGAUGUAGCUCAGUGAUAGAGCACUUGCCUAGCAUGCAAGAUACCCUGGCUUCUUCCUCA